CACCGUCGGUAAGUCUCAAUUUUUUGUGAUUUUUUUGGCCCACCGAAGGCCCUAGGGUUGUUUUGUCCCAGGAACCAAUGCAAGUUUGUCCGAAUUCGACCGAAAACGGCCAACACGUGGCGGAUCGCUGCCGCAGGCGGCGGCGCCGUCACCGGAGCACGACGGAGCCGCCGUGCCGAAAUUCUGAUAUUGGCUGAAAGGGGCCUUAGGUCUGAUUUGGAAUU
This 224-nucleotide long non-coding RNA is filed under the name Carica papaya (papaya). RNAcentral's name for it is "long non-coding RNA (CPAP_LNC006557)". Lineage: Eukaryota; Viridiplantae; Streptophyta; Magnoliopsida; Brassicales; Caricaceae. The record is from RNAcentral.